UCAAGGAGAUAGAGAAGGAUGAAGGAUGGAUGGAAAUGAAGAGAAGAAGAGGAUUUCGGGGUGAUUGUCUCGAAUUUUGAAAAUUAGGGUUUGAGAUUUUGAUGGAGAGCGAAAGUGAGACAGUUUUGACCAAGGACAUGCCGAGAGAAUGUGUAUACCCUAGAAUUUGAGGUCAGUGGAGAGCUAGGAGAGGAGCCUUAGGUUUGGGAUGAGAGGA
RNAcentral lists this long non-coding RNA (217 nucleotides) under Elaeis guineensis (African oil palm). Its description in RNAcentral is "long non-coding RNA (EGUI_LNC082414)". Lineage: Eukaryota; Viridiplantae; Streptophyta; Magnoliopsida; Arecales; Arecaceae. The record is from RNAcentral.